GCACGUGUGUCGUGCGCUCCUGUGCACUUCACCGCGGACACGCGUGCACGCCUUUGCAGGAAACGAGCAGCUCCAUCACCGCCUUACAGGAGGGGCGCCACCUCAGCUCAACAGAAGGUGCAGCACGACCGCCGAGAGUGUUCGGCGCAUCACCACCGUUCCUCCCAUUGUACCUUCCCUCCUCCACCACCCACCCACCCCACCCCGUAGUUCCUUGCCUCGUCAACCCAACCGCCUUGCGUAGCCGGAUCGGCGACACAGGAGCACGAUGGAGCCGGAGAGUGGUGCGCGCGCGGUCGAGUUGGCGGCCGCCGGCAAUGUGGACGACGUUCACGUGCUGCCAGACGCGAGCAAGACAGGUUCCAACGUACGCGCGUACUACUACGCGUGCCGGCACUGUCGCGUGCGCCUCUUCGACGCCGCGGAGGUGCUCCCGCACGACCCGCAGGAGGGGGCGAAUAAGACCUUCAAGUUCCGACGUGGCGGUCCGCUGCAGAGCGACGGCGCACUCGGCGAUGUGUCAUCAGGACCGUUAUCUGCCGCGGAACUCUGCACCAGCCUCUUCCUGGACCCUGACCAGACGCCGUGGGUGGCCGAAGACAUGCGCGAGGCGAACUCGAGCGGAGCCGUGGUGCAGCCGGACACAAUCUACUGCCGCAACCCCCGCUGCCGUGCGAAGCUCGGGAUGCAGUCGUGGGCAGGGUCGCAGUGCUCCUGCGGCGCAUGGAUCACCCCGGCCUUCCGCAUCCACGCUAGCGCUGUAGACAAGAUGCUGGACGUCACACCAACUUCAGCGGCACAUGCCACCUUCUCACCUCAUUGAAGCGUCGGCUAGGGGCCAGCUUUCAUGGCGGCGCAGUUGUGGCGUCUUCUGUGCCCGUGCGUGUGUACGUGCCGAGUCGGGUUUAACAUAAUAACUGCCUUUCUCUCGAGUGCAAGAGGCCACAAAUGUGUCCAACCGGUCCUCAGCUCUUUUGCCGCCGACGCUGCACACCGCAACGCGCCCUCCCUCCGUCCACCACGUUG
This 1026-nucleotide unclassified non-coding RNA is filed under the name Leishmania donovani. RNAcentral describes it as "gene:LdHU3.09.1560(CDS-product:hypothetical_prote in_conserved)". The record is from RNAcentral. Lineage: Eukaryota; Euglenozoa; Kinetoplastea; Trypanosomatida; Trypanosomatidae.